Molecule: long non-coding RNA, 748 nt
Organism: Thunnus maccoyii (southern bluefin tuna)
Lineage: Eukaryota; Metazoa; Chordata; Actinopteri; Scombriformes; Scombridae
Exons: 6
Source: RefSeq, a predicted model, not a curated record
UGGUUAUGGCGAAACUAGGGCAGGAUCAGCAAAGAUAAAAAGAAAAGAGUUGACAGAAGAACAAAAAAAGCUAAAAGGGGCAGUGAUAGAAACACGAGUCAACCUUGAUCGGUCAUUCAACAAAUGGACAGAACCGCAGGAUUUGAAAGGAUUCAAAACCAAUCCUGAAUUGUCUCUCUUCCUCCUAAACAGACGAGAGAUCCAGAGGCUCCAGGAUGAAGGGGAAGAGCUUUUACACAGUCUCAGAGUCUCUCAGAGUGGUUUUAACCGUCAGAAUGAUGUUAGCGUUGUUAAAGAUCUUACUGCCAUGUUGGCCUGUGAAGAAAGAACAGAUGAGGAGCUGGAAGAAGAAAAAGGCGAAGUAGCAUCUUAACAGAUUUUGGAAUGGGAGAGGAAGUUGGCAGGACAGAGUGGGGGAACUGCACACCGCAGUUGUAAAUCUGAUAACAGCUGCUUGCUAAAAACCACCUGCUCAAUGGAAAACAAACUGGACAGGAGUUGCAAACGCUUCAAUCAGCUGAUGACCAGGAAUGGACAGUUGAGGGAGGAUCUGAAGAUACUGCAGGAGGAGAAGAAACACUUCCUACGUGUUAAAUCUCAUCUAGAAAAUGAGCUGCAUGCAAUUCACAAGGAUGUUUGUAAACUGAGUUCUGAGUGCACUGAAGCCUUCAAUACCAGGCUGGAUCACCACUAGCUGAUUGUCAGCAUGGAGGACAUUACUGAGUACUUGACAACAAAAACAGAAAUA